GUAACAACGAAUGUCGAGAAGUCAGCAGAGGUCGAAGUAGCCGAUUGCGUGUCAAUCAUGGCGAAGGAC
RNAcentral lists this non-coding RNA (69 nucleotides) under uncultured Bacteroides sp. Lineage: Bacteria; Pseudomonadati; Bacteroidota; Bacteroidia; Bacteroidales; Bacteroidaceae. The record is from RNAcentral.